RNAcentral lists this ribosomal RNA (253 nucleotides) under uncultured bacterium. RNAcentral's name for it is "partial 16S ribosomal RNA". It matches the Rfam family "Bacterial small subunit ribosomal RNA", at positions 524 to 776 of the family's 1533-position model. The record is from RNAcentral.
UACGUAGGGUGCGAGCGUUAAUCGGAAUUACUGGGCGUAAAGCGUGCGCAGGCGGUGAUGUAAGUCAGGUGUGAAAUCCCCGGGCUUAACCUGGGAAUUGCAUUUGUGACUGCACGGCUAGAGUGUGUCAGAGGGGGGUAGAAUUCCACGUGUAGCAGUGAAAUGCGUAGAUAUGUGGAGGAAUACCGAUGGCGAAGGCAGCCCCCUGGGAUAACACUGACGCUCAUGCACGAAAGCGUGGGGAGCAAACAGG